This 477-nucleotide ribosomal RNA is filed under the name uncultured bacterium. Its description in RNAcentral is "SSU rRNA". It matches the Rfam family "Bacterial small subunit ribosomal RNA", at positions 26 to 523 of the family's 1533-position model. The record is from RNAcentral.
AGGAUGAACGCUGGCGGCGUGCCUAACACAUGCAAGUCGAACGUCCUGUCUCGCAAGAGGCAGGGAGUGGCGGACGGGUGAGUACCACGUGGGUUAUCUACCGUGAGGUGAGGAAUACCGGCGAGAAAUCGCCGACAAGACCGCAUAGCCUCGGUGCAAGCCGAGCAAAGCUCUUUCGAGAGAGGGAGCGCCACACGAGGAGCCUGCGCCCGAUUAGCUAGCUGGUGGAGUAACGGUUCACCAGGGCGACGAUCGGUAGCUGGUCUGAGAGGACGAUCAGCCACACUGGGAUUGAGAACGGCCCAGACUCCUACGGGGGGCAGCAGUGAGGAAUUUUCGUCAAUGGGGGCAACCCUGAACGAGCAACGCCGCGUGCAGGAGAAGGUUUUCGGAUCGUAAACUGCUUUUCUCGGGGAAGAGAACGGACGGUACCCGAGGAAUCAGCCCCGGCUAACUACGCGCCAGCAGCCGCGGUAA